This 72-nucleotide transfer RNA is filed under the name Schistosoma mansoni. The record is from RNAcentral. Lineage: Eukaryota; Metazoa; Platyhelminthes; Trematoda; Strigeidida; Schistosomatidae.
UCUCAGUGGCCGAGUAGAUAACGCGAUGGCGUUUGAAGCAAACGGUACUGGGUUCGAAUCCCAGAGUGAACA